AUUGAACGCUGGCGGCAUGCCUUACACAUGCAAGUCGAACGGCAGCGCGGGGCAACCUGGCGGCGAGCGGCGGACGGGUGAGGAAUGCAUCGGAAUCUACCCUGUCGUGGGGGAUAACGUAGGGAAACUUACGCUAAUACCGCAUACGAACUAUGGUUGAAAGCGGCGGACCGCAAGGCGUCGCGCGAUUGGAUGAGCCGAUGUCCGAUUAGCUAGUUGGCGGGGUAAAGGCCCACCAAGGCGACGAUCGGUAGCUGGUCUGAGAGGAUGAUCAGCCACACUGGAACUGAGACACGGUCCAGACUCCUACGGGAGGCAGCAGUGGGGAAUAUUGGACAAUGGGCGCAAGCCUGAUCCAGCCAUGCCGCGUGUGUGAAGAAGG
Molecule: ribosomal RNA, 382 nt
Filed under: uncultured bacterium
Lineage: Bacteria
Description: bacterial SSU rRNA
Rfam family: Bacterial small subunit ribosomal RNA
Source: RNAcentral